UACGGAGGGGGCGAGCGUUAUUCGGAAUUACUGGGCGUAAAGGGCUCGUAGGUGGCCAACUAAGUCAGACGUGAAAUCCCUCGGCUUAACCGGGGAACUGCGUCUGAUACUGGAUGGCUUGAGUUUGGGAGAGGGACGCGGAAUUCCAGGUGUAGCGGUGAAAUGCGUAGAUAUCUGGAGGAACACCGGUGGCGAAGGCGGCGUCCUGGACCAACACUGACACUGAGGAGCGAAAGCCAGGGGAGCAAACGGG
RNAcentral lists this ribosomal RNA (253 nucleotides) under uncultured bacterium. Its description in RNAcentral is "partial 16S ribosomal RNA". It matches the Rfam family "Bacterial small subunit ribosomal RNA", at positions 524 to 776 of the family's 1533-position model. The record is from RNAcentral.